AUCAGAGUCACCUAGAGAGCUUGUUAAAAAUCAGAUCACUAUGUUCCACCCCUAGAGUUUCUGAUUCAGUGAGUGAGUGUCUGAGAAUCUGCAUUUCUAACAAGUUCCCAGAUGAUGUUGAU
Molecule: microRNA precursor, 122 nt
Filed under: Marmota monax (woodchuck)
Lineage: Eukaryota; Metazoa; Chordata; Mammalia; Rodentia; Sciuridae
Source: RNAcentral